This 1830-nucleotide unclassified non-coding RNA is filed under the name Stylophora pistillata. Its description in RNAcentral is "uncharacterized LOC111340581, transcript variant X3". The record is from RNAcentral. Lineage: Eukaryota; Metazoa; Cnidaria; Anthozoa; Scleractinia; Pocilloporidae.
UAGACGAGAGUCCAUGAUUCUCAGAAUUAAGAUUCGCGAAGCUUAUUCUAAAACAUUAAGAGACAUUGUCGCAUUUCUCUUGAUUUACUUACCUCCAAAAUGACAAAAUACGACAAGCAAGGUGUUCCUAACCUAAGUUUUCAUAAUCCGAUGCGAAUAACUCUUUACCCAGAAGGUUUGUACACGUACGCGAUGGGAAACACACCAGCCCGAGAUAUAACGGAGCUGUUGGGCUCAUCGAUAGAACAACAUGUAUACGUGUUGCUCUUAGCAUGCGGUGAUGUUAGAAAUUUCCUAUGCAGUUUGUCUGAGUUAUCUCUAAGAAAACCACGUGAACGUCCUAAGAGUUUAAGUUUCCAUUUGAAUGAUUAUGAUCCAUCAGUGAUAGCACGCGAUGCUGUGCUCCUAGAGGUCGCUAGUGUGAUAAAUCCUGAUGUCCCUGCUGAUGUAGACUUCUUGUGGAACAUUUGGUAUAACCUAGCACUGUCGGUGGCCGACUUUGAUCGACUGCGAAAAUUACUCACUGAACUGUUAGAGAAGAAAUUUGACAGCGACGAUAGUAUCUUAAAGUUUCGGGAGGACGGCGUUCUCCAGGAAUGUCGAGAUAUAUGGAAAGACUGGAGAGAUCUCGAUCUCGAAGUGAAAAGUGUAAAAGAGGAGAGAAACAACCUGAUAGAGGACGCGAAAAAAAGUUUAGGGUUCUUUGAAGAUUCUCAUUGCCAGUCUACACUAACUCAUAUGGUGAUGGCAAUCUAUGAAGAGGAACUAGACAAUUUUGUGAAACCUGCAGCGACAAAUCCACUCUACACGGAAAUACAACACUGGUAUAGAGAAGGUUGUACGAAUGAUGAGUCGGAGAAAACAAAUCCGACAUUGGUUCGUCCAUUUGUUCACAAGUGGAGACAGCAUUAUGGUUCCUGUGCGUUUGAGGGUUAUCCACCACUGGAAAGGAAAGACCUCGAACAAGGUAAAUCAUGUGCUGAGGUUUGCAAGGAAAAGCUGGCAGUCUGGAUAAAAAGACUUCAGGAGCAUUAUGAAAAUCACCAAAACAAUCUGAAGGUUACCCUGUGGACAGGCGAUGGACUUACUUUGUGUACAAGUGGUUUUCCGCCAGAAGUGUUGUUCGACGUAAUCGAUACAAGUAAUCUCAGCGAUCACAUUGGUUUGUUGAAUGUCCUCGUCUGCUGUUCCCCAAGGUUAAAGGUGCCAAAUGUUUCCCUGCUGUUCACAUCAAGCAUGUUAUGGAGCCAUGCAUGGGACAGUAUAGAGGAGUAUUACAACAAAUGUGUUGGUGUUCCGUUGCAACUUCUCCCAACAGUUCUCGGUUUGAAGCUGGCUAUUGAUCUCGAAUUGGGAAGCAAAAAACUUCCGGACAAAUUGGACUCUACUGAGGAGACUCUUUGCUGGGUGAAGGCGGACCCUAAAAGGACUUUAUUGACUAUAGAUAAAGCCACUGACGUUGUCCAAGCGCUACUGCGUCUCACAGAGCGUUGCUUCAAUCUAGCGAAUGAGAUCAUUCAUUACACUGGCGUCACUUCACCUUCGCCUCUGACCUUGCUUCGAAUUAUACAUCAGGCACAACCACUCUUCAAGGGAGGAGGUCAUAUCAAUUUUAAAGUUAGCUGUUAGCCUGCAGCGUAUGCAUGUUCAUGCUGUUCGAGCACUAAAAAGCGGAUUGAUCAGUCCUGCUGUACAAAGGAAACCCUAAAAAAAACAACUCGAGUUCCAACUUAAUUCUCUCACCGCCAAGAUAAUUGACGUUCUUGAACAAGAGCUACCAGCUGAAUUUAAGAGGAAGUACGGACUAUCCUGGAGUUUGAUAAAGGCGUC